AUGGCACCAUCCAUGAGUCUUGCAGCGAAAGGUCCGCUCCCCUUUGGAGCGCUCCCCUCAAGCGGCGUCGUGCAGAGGCCGGUGUCAGUGACCGCCUCACUGGAGCACAAGAGUGAUUAUAAGAGGAAGCUCCUGAAGUGGUUGCCUCCCUGGCUUACUGCUGCUGCUGGUUGCUUCGCCGUCCCCUUCCCCUACAUGUACAACUAUCAACUUGUUUCACUAUUCAGUUUGUCACCAUUCAACUUUCUUAGUGGGGCAUCUUUCUUGUCACUAUUGGUGCUGCUGCUGCUGUGGUUGUUGGAGGUGUUGCUGUUGCAUCUGGCGGAGCUGCCGUUGGGGCCCCAAAAGGAAUGCAGACUGCUCGGGACAAAAACUUACUACCAUCGCUGCUCAAGAAGGAUCGUCUGUGCUAGGAAGGAGGGAUGGAGUCAUCCAAACUUUUGCGCCAGUGUGGAAGGAGGAGGAGUAAGGCCAAAGCCUGCCUGCCUGCUUGCUGUCGCCGCCCUCCCGCGUGUGGUGUCGCCAUCGCGCCCUUCGGAGAAGGCAUCCGCCAUCGUGUGA
Molecule: ribosomal RNA, 561 nt
Filed under: Triticum aestivum (bread wheat)
Lineage: Eukaryota; Viridiplantae; Streptophyta; Magnoliopsida; Poales; Poaceae
Description: partial small subunit ribosomal RNA
Source: RNAcentral